UCCCUGGUAGUAUAUCGGUUAGUACACGCGCCUGUCAUUACGAAAGUACUCUGGAUAUCCUGCGCGCGAAAGCUGGGUUCGACUCCCAGCCAGGGAG
Stygiomarasmius scandens is the source of this 97-nucleotide non-coding RNA. NCBI's taxonomy places the organism in Eukaryota, Fungi, Basidiomycota, Agaricomycetes, Agaricales, Campanellaceae. The record is from the annotation of a GenBank genome assembly.